GACUCUAAGAGACUGCCGGUGUCAAACCGGAGGAAGGUGGGGAUGACGUCAAGUCCUCAUGGCCUUUAUGACCAGGGCUACACACGUACUACAAUGGCAGGUACAAAGGGCAGCCACUUAGCGAUAAGGCGCGAAUCCCGUAAAACCUGUCUCAGUCCGGAUUGGAGUCUGCAACUCGACUCCAUGAAGUUGGAAUCGCUAGUAAUCGCAGAUCAGCACGCUGCGGUGAAUACGUUCCCGGGCCUU
Molecule: ribosomal RNA, 246 nt
Filed under: uncultured Desulfocapsa sp.
Lineage: Bacteria; Pseudomonadati; Thermodesulfobacteriota; Desulfobulbia; Desulfobulbales; Desulfocapsaceae
Description: partial 16S ribosomal RNA
Rfam family: Bacterial small subunit ribosomal RNA
Source: RNAcentral